Oncorhynchus keta (chum salmon) is the source of this 383-nucleotide long non-coding RNA. RefSeq lists it as uncharacterized. The record is from RefSeq and is a predicted model, not a curated record. Lineage: Eukaryota; Metazoa; Chordata; Actinopteri; Salmoniformes; Salmonidae. The transcript has 4 exons.
GGGAUCAUGUGUUUAUUAGGAUCCCCAUUAGCUGUUGUCAUCGAAUGAGAUGUGAAGUAGCCAAUAGGUCUUCAACUGUUUUCAUGUUGCUAUGGAAGUAGCCAAUAGGUCUUCAACUGUUUUCAUGUUGCUAUGGAAGUAGCCAAUAGGUCUUCAACUGUUUUCAUGUUGCUAUGGAAGUAGCCAAUAGGUCUUCAACUGUUUUCAUGUUGCUAUGGAAGUAGCCAAUAGGUCUUCAACUGUUUUCAUGUUGCUAUGGAAGUAGCCAAUAGGUCUUCAACUGUUUUCAUGUUGCUAUGGAAGUAGCCAAUAGGUCUUCAACUGUUUUCAUGUUGCUAUGGAAGUAGCCAAUAGGUCUUCAACUGUUUUCAUGUUGCUAUGGA